RNAcentral lists this ribosomal RNA (493 nucleotides) under Pasteurella canis. Its description in RNAcentral is "bacterial SSU rRNA". It matches the Rfam family "Bacterial small subunit ribosomal RNA", at positions 9 to 490 of the family's 1533-position model. The record is from RNAcentral. Lineage: Bacteria; Pseudomonadati; Pseudomonadota; Gammaproteobacteria; Pasteurellales; Pasteurellaceae.
GAGUUUGAUCCUGGCUCAGAUUGAACGCUGGCGGCAGGCUUAACACAUGCAAGUCGAACGGUAGCAGGAAGAAAGCUUGCUUUUUUUGCUGACGAGUGGCGGACGGGUGAGUAAUGCUUGGGAAUCUGGCUUAUGGAGGGGGAUAACUGUGGGAAACUGUAGCUAAUACCGCGUAUAAUCGAGAGAUGAAAGGGUGGGACCGUAAGGCCACUUGCCAUAAGAUGAGCCCAAGUGGGAUUAGGUAGUUGGUGGGGUAAAGGCCUACCAAGCCUGCGAUCUCUAGCUGGUCUGAGAGGAUGGCCAGCCACACUGGGACUGAGACACGGCCCAGACUCCUACGGGAGGCAGCAGUGGGGAAUAUUGCGCAAUGGGGGGAACCCUGACGCAGCCAUGCCGCGUGAAUGAAGAAGGCCUUCGGGUUGUAAAGUUCUUUCGGUGAUGAGGAAGGGGUAUUAUUGAAUAGAUAAUAUCAUUGACGUAAUUACAGAAGAGC